This 692-nucleotide ribosomal RNA is filed under the name uncultured Macellibacteroides sp. RNAcentral describes it as "bacterial SSU rRNA". It matches the Rfam family "Bacterial small subunit ribosomal RNA", at positions 8 to 692 of the family's 1533-position model. Lineage: Bacteria; Pseudomonadati; Bacteroidota; Bacteroidia; Bacteroidales; Porphyromonadaceae. The record is from RNAcentral.
AGAGUUUGAUCCUGGCUCAGGAUGAACGCUAGCGACAGGCUUAACACAUGCAAGUCGAGGGGCAGCAUAGAAGUAGCAAUACUUUGGUGGCGACCGGCGCACGGGUGAGUAACGCGUAUGCAACCUACCUAUCAGAGGGGAAUAACCCGGCGAAAGUCGGACUAAUACCGCAUAAAACAGGGGCACCGCAUGGUGAUAUUUGUUAAAGAAAUUCGCUGAUAGAUGGGCAUGCGUUCCAUCAGGUAGUUGGUGAGGUAACGGCUCACCAAGCCGACGAUGGAUAGGGGAACUGAGAGGUUGGUCCCCCACACUGGUACUGAGACACGGACCAGACUCCUACGGGAGGCAGCAGUGAGGAAUAUUGGUCAAUGGGCGGGAGCCUGAACCAGCCAAGUCGCGUGAAGGAAGAAGGAUCUAUGGUUCGUAAACUUCUUUUGCAGGGGAAUAAAGUGCAGGACGUGUCCUGUUUUGUAUGUACCCUGAGAAUAAGGAUCGGCUAACUCCGUGCCAGCAGCCGCGGUAAUACGGAGGAUCCGAGCGUUAUCCGGAUUUAUUGGGUUUAAAGGGUGCGUAGGUGGUUUGAUAAGUCAGCGGUGAAAGUUUGCAGCUUAACUGUAAAAAUGCCGUUGAAACUGUCGGACUUGAGUGUAAAUGAGGUAGGCGGAAUGCGUGGUGUAGCGGUGAAAUGCAUA